RNAcentral lists this ribosomal RNA (433 nucleotides) under uncultured bacterium. Its description in RNAcentral is "partial 16S ribosomal RNA". It matches the Rfam family "Bacterial small subunit ribosomal RNA", at positions 29 to 507 of the family's 1533-position model. The record is from RNAcentral.
AACGAACGCUGGCGGCAUGCCUAACACAUGCCAGUCGAACGAGACCUUCGGGUCUAGUGGCGCACGGGUGCGUAACGCGUGGGAACCUGCCCUUAGGUUCGGAAUAACUCCCCGAAAGGGGUGCUAAUACCGGAUAAUGUCUUCGGACCAAAGAUUUAUCGCCUUUGGAUGGGCCCGCGUUGGAUUAGCUAGUAGGUAGGGUAAAAGCCUACCAAGGCGACGAUCCAUAGCUGGUCUGAGAGGAUGAUCAGCCACACUGGGACUGAGACACGGCCCAGACUCCUACGGGAGGCAGCAGUGGGGAAUAUUGGACAAUGGGCGAAAGCCUGAUCCAGCAAUGCCGCGUGAGUGAUGAAGGCCUUAGGGUUGUAAAGCUCUUUUACCCGGGAUGAUAAUGACAGUACCGGGAGAAUAAGCUCCGGCUAACUCCGUG